UACGGAGGGUGCAAGCGUUAUCCGGAUUCACUGGGUUUAAAGGGUGCGUAGGUGGGCUAGUAAGUCCGUGGUGAAAUCUCCAAGCUUAACUUGGAAACUGCCGUGGAUACUAUUAGUCUUGAAUAUUGUGGAGGUAAGCGGAAUAUGUCAUGUAGCGGUGAAAUGCUUAGAUAUGACAUAGAACACCGAUAGCGAAGGCAGCUUGCUACACAAUCAUUGACGCUGAGGCACGAAAGCGUGGGGAGCAAACAGG
RNAcentral lists this ribosomal RNA (253 nucleotides) under uncultured bacterium. RNAcentral describes it as "partial 16S ribosomal RNA". It matches the Rfam family "Bacterial small subunit ribosomal RNA", at positions 524 to 776 of the family's 1533-position model. The record is from RNAcentral.